UACGGGGGGGGCAAGCGUUGUUCGGAAUUACUGGGCGUAAAGAGUGUGUAGGCGGUGCUCUAAGUUCGGUGUGAAAUCUCCCGGCUUAACUGGGAGGGUGCGCCGGAAACUGGAGUGCUCGAGCGUGGGAGAGGAAAGCGGAAUUCCUGGUGUAGCGGUGAAAUGCGUAGAUAUCAGGAGGAACACCUGCGGUGUAGACGGCUUUCUGGACCAUUGCUGACGCUGAGACACGAAAGCGUGGGUAGCAAACAGG
This 253-nucleotide ribosomal RNA is filed under the name uncultured bacterium. Its description in RNAcentral is "partial 16S ribosomal RNA". It matches the Rfam family "Bacterial small subunit ribosomal RNA", at positions 524 to 776 of the family's 1533-position model. The record is from RNAcentral.